Molecule: long non-coding RNA, 250 nt
Organism: Salvelinus sp. IW2-2015
Lineage: Eukaryota; Metazoa; Chordata; Actinopteri; Salmoniformes; Salmonidae
Exons: 3
Source: RefSeq, a predicted model, not a curated record
CAGUCACCGGAUACCAUCCCCGGACCCAGCACCAGCCCUACUGUUCACAAGUCCUGCUCCCAGAGUUUCCCGUGUGCAGGGCGUGCAGUGAGGAAUGCGUUCCUGUCUCAUGGUCCAUACCCUGCUAAAGACAAUUCACCUCGCCAGGAUCAUAAGGCGGAGCUACGUGGGUGUAGAGCUGGUCCAGUGGCUGUGUGAGCAGUGUGUGUAUUAACGCUGUGUGUGUGUGUGGUCCAGGCGGAGCUUACGU